CAGUAGCGUAUAUUAAAGUUGUUGCAGUUAAAAAGCUCGUAGUUGGAUUUCUGGUGUGGGAUGCCUGGCCCGCCGCGAUACGCGUGUGAGUGCUGGCGCGUCCCCGCCAUCCUUUCAGAGACCGUUUCUGCCCUUGAUUGGGUUGGAGGCGUGGAUCUGGAUCUUUUACUUUGAAAAAAUUAGAGUGUUCAAGGCAGGCUCGCGCUGUGAAUACAUUAGCAUGGAAUAAUGACAUAGGACUCCGGUUCUAUUUUGUUGGUUUCUAGGACUGAAGUAAUGAUUGAUAGGGAUAGUUGGGGGUGCUCGUAUUUAGCGGCCAGAGGUGAAAUUCUUGGAUUCGCUAAAGACGGACUUAUGCGAAAGCAUUCACCAAGGAUGUCUUCUUUAA
RNAcentral lists this ribosomal RNA (388 nucleotides) under uncultured eukaryote. RNAcentral describes it as "partial 18S ribosomal RNA". It matches the Rfam family "Eukaryotic small subunit ribosomal RNA", at positions 592 to 976 of the family's 1831-position model. The record is from RNAcentral.